Molecule: ribosomal RNA, 365 nt
Filed under: Trypanosyllis krohnii
Lineage: Eukaryota; Metazoa; Annelida; Polychaeta; Phyllodocida; Syllidae
Description: partial 16S large subunit ribosomal RNA
Rfam family: Bacterial large subunit ribosomal RNA
Source: RNAcentral
GUAGCAUAAUAACUUGUCCUUUAAUUUAAGAAUAGAAUGAACGAAUAAACAUUAAGAGCCCUGUCUCAUUAUAAACCCUAAAAAUUUAUAUGGAGGUGAAAAAGCCCCCAUCAGAAAAAAAGACAAAAAGACCCUAGAAGCUUGUAAAUAAUAAAAUAAUUUAAUAGUUAUUUUUUGGCUGGGAGGGCAUAAAGUCUAUACCACACUUUAAAUUAAAAAGAAAUAUGUCUACUAACAUCAACCCCAAUAAGAAUAUCAGUAAGCUACUCUAGGGGUAACAGGCUACUGCUCCUUAUAAGUACCUAUUGAGAGGAGUGUUUGGCACCUCGGUGUUGGCUUACGAUUCUUAUUUUAUGCAAAACCAA